AACUUUUGGCAACGGAUCACUUGGCUCUCGCAUCGAUGAAGAACGCAGCGAAAUGCGAUAAGUAAUGUGAAUUGCAGAAUUCAGCGAAUCAUCGAAUCUUUGAACGCACCUUGCGCUCCUUGGUAUUCUGAGGAGCAUGCCUGUUUGAGUGUCAUGAAAUUCUCAACUGCUUUAGCUUUUGUGGUUGAAGUAAAGUUGGAUUUGGAGGAAUAAUUGCUGGCGUAACCUUUUAAGGUUGCUUGUUAGCUCCUCUUAAAUGGAUGAACUUUCCAGUAGUGUAAAAGUAACACCAAUGUGAUAAUUAUCUACGUUGGAUGAACUUGUACAAGGAAAGAUGAAUCUGUCUUGGACCCCCUUGACGAAACAAAUGACAAAUUUGACCUCAAAUCAGGUAGGACUACCCGCUGAACUUAAGCAUAUCAAUAAGCGGAGGCU
Molecule: unclassified non-coding RNA, 435 nt
Filed under: uncultured Thelephoraceae
Lineage: Eukaryota; Fungi; Basidiomycota; Agaricomycetes; Thelephorales; Thelephoraceae
Description: sequence contains ITS2
Rfam family: 5.8S ribosomal RNA (bases 1-154)
Source: RNAcentral